GCAGAACGCGAAGAACCUUACCUAGCCUUGAAAUCCGACGAAUCCGAUGUAAUGGUUGGAGUGCCCGCAAGGGAAUGUCGAGACAGGUGCUGCAUGGCUGUCGUCAGCUCGUGUUGUGAAAUGUUGGGUUAAGUCUCGCAACGAGCGCAACCCCUAUCUUUAGUUGCCAGUAUUAAGUUGGGCACUCUAGAGAGACUGCCUGGGUUAACCAGGAGGAAGGUGGGGAUGACGUCAAGUCCUCAUGGCCCUUAUGGCUAGGGCUACACACGUAAUACAAUGGCGCACACAAAGGGAAGCAAACACGCGAGUGUAAGCUAAUCUCAAAAAGUGCGUCUCAGUCCGGAUUGGAGUCUGCAACUCGACUCCAUGAAGUUGGAAUCGCUAGUAAUCGCGGAUCAGCACGCCGAGGUGAAUACGUUCCCGGGUC
Molecule: ribosomal RNA, 427 nt
Filed under: uncultured bacterium
Lineage: Bacteria
Description: bacterial SSU rRNA
Rfam family: Bacterial small subunit ribosomal RNA
Source: RNAcentral